Molecule: ribosomal RNA, 253 nt
Filed under: uncultured bacterium
Lineage: Bacteria
Description: partial 16S ribosomal RNA
Rfam family: Bacterial small subunit ribosomal RNA
Source: RNAcentral
UACGGAGGGUGCGAGCGUUGUCCGGAAUCACUGGGCGUAAAGGGCGCGUAGGCGGCCAUGCGUGUCUUCCGUGAAAUCCCUCGGCUUAACUGAGGACGUGCGGAAGAAACUGCAAGGCUCGAGUCCGGGAGAGGGGGGUGGAAUUCCCAGUGUAGCGGUGAAAUGCGUAGAUAUUGGGAGGAACACCGGUGGCGAAGGCGGCCCCCUGGACCGGUACUGACGCUGAGGCGCGAAAGCGUGGGUAGCAAACGGG